AAUGACGAGCCUGACUAAAGGAUUAUCGUGAUAGGAUAAAACAUGUAGAGCAAAACCUCUACCAUCAUUA
Molecule: transfer RNA, 70 nt
Filed under: Odontotermes javanicus
Lineage: Eukaryota; Metazoa; Arthropoda; Insecta; Blattodea; Termitidae
Description: tRNA-Ile
Source: RNAcentral